UGAGUAAUGCCUAGAGAAUCUGCCUGGUAGUGGGGGAUAACGUUCGGAAACGGACGCUAAUACCGCAUACGUCCUACGGGAGAAAGCAGGGGACCUUCGGGCCUUGCGCUAUCAGAUGAGCCUAUGUCGGAUUAGCUAGUUGGUGGGGUAAUGGCUCACCAAGGCGACGAUCCGUAACUGGUCUGAGAGGAUGAUCAGUCACACUGGAACUGAGACACGGUCCAGACUCCUACAGGAGGCAGCAGUGGGGAAUAUUGGACAAUGGGCGAAAGCCUGAUCCAGCCAUGCCGCGUGUGUGAAGAAGGUCUUCGGAUUGUAAAGCACUUUAAGUUGGGAGGAAGGGCCAUUACCUAAUACGUGAUGGUUUUGACGUUACCGACAGAAUAAGCACCGGCUAACUCUGUGCCAGCAGCCGCGGUAAUACAGAGGGUGCAAGCGUUAAUCGGAAUUACUGGGCGUAAAGCG
This 465-nucleotide ribosomal RNA is filed under the name Pseudomonas sp. 12M15. RNAcentral describes it as "bacterial SSU rRNA". It matches the Rfam family "Bacterial small subunit ribosomal RNA", at positions 107 to 567 of the family's 1533-position model. The record is from RNAcentral. Lineage: Bacteria; Pseudomonadati; Pseudomonadota; Gammaproteobacteria; Pseudomonadales; Pseudomonadaceae.